This 3046-nucleotide long non-coding RNA is filed under the name Olea europaea subsp. europaea. Lineage: Eukaryota; Viridiplantae; Streptophyta; Magnoliopsida; Lamiales; Oleaceae. The record is from RNAcentral.
AACAAUUUGAAAUGCUAGUGAUUUGUACCGAAUACAAACAAUAUGGGUAAGUAAUUUAUAGAUUUUUGGGUUUACUCAUAUAUAAUUCAUACUUCUGUAUUUUUCUUUGGAUUGCUUUAUGAAUAUUAAUGUCAUUAGUAAUUUUUUUUUGUAAUAUCUAUUUUUCUUCCACUUGGUAGAAACACGGAUUAUAGGGUAUAAAGUCCUUAAGUUUGGUUUGUAGACCUGCUUUAGGUUCUAAUUAAUUUCAUCAAUUUGUGUUCUUCGUCAAGCAAUCUUUAAGGUAUGCCCUUCAAUCCUAUUUAUUUUUUGAUGUAAACAGAUGAAUUUGAAGUCUUGGAUGAACAAAUUUGGUUUAGUUUUACUAUCGGUCGAUUCAAUCUUGGUUGUCAGUUUUCGUCUUUCUUGAAAUAUAUCAAUGUUGAAUUAUAGAUCUUGUUUUAUCAUUAGAUUAAUUUUAUUUUGAAUUUUCGGAGAGAGUUGAAUUAUAUUAGAUAUAGGAUUUAGUACAAGGAAUUAGAAAAAAAUUAUGAUCUGAAUAUUAUGAUUUGAAUUGUAUUGUUAUGUUGUAGGGAUUUUAGUUAUGAUAAUCUUGAUAAGAGAGAAGUUCAACUUAUUAGUAACUUGGUUCUUAUAAUCUAGCAAUUCAGGGUUAUGGUUCAAAUACAUGUACCGGGAAAUUUGUAAUUUUGCUUGGAGUUAAUGUCUUUUUUACUUGUUUUGGGUUAAAAGUUGGUUAAGUAAUUUUUUUCUUUGGGAGAUAGAAACUAAAGUUGAUUCAUAUGAGACCAACUUUGCUACUAUUAAUAAGUAACCUGCAUACAUACACGUAUGAAAUAUUCGUAUUAGAUAAUGAUGUCGCAAAAGUUCAUACUGUUACCUGCAUAUGGAAGACCAAAAUGUAGCAGGCUCUUCAUCAGAAACAUAGAAGAGGCUAAGCCAAUCUUUCUACUCCAGAGUGUUCUCUGCUUGAGAAGAAAAGAUUGUCCCAUAACUUACGAGUUGCUUUCUUCAUAUUAUCCAACACUAUCAUUUGUAUCCCAGGAUUGUUAAACUAAAAUAAACCUUCUUUUCUCUACUGCAUUGCAUAUCAUAGCUACCACCACUUGAUCAUUUGGGACAGAAAUGGACUCCUAAGCUAGUACAGUGCUGGUAGAGAUUUGUUCUCGAGGAGGUUUAACAAAUAUAUUACUUAGGUAAUGUUUGAAGAACUAUAUGAGAAAGACCCUUAACUCCAUGACCUUCAUCUACUACAAAAUUUUUUAUAUCCCUCUAGUCAGAUUGAAUUCUUAAAAGUUUUGUAGCCAUAUGUGUUACAAUAAGCAUGAUACUUUUCAAUUCUGAAUUUCUAGCCUGUCUUGCAAUUAAUAUUUUCUUAUUUUGUGAUGGAUGAUGAUUAGAGCUUUCAUUGUGAAUUUAGGCCAAACGCUGUAUUUUCUAGUAGAAGUUUAUCUUUUGGGAAACUAAUUGAAGCAGUUGAAAUGUUGUGGGAUUUAAUUAAUAUUUUCUUAUUUUGUGAUGGAUGUUGAUUAGAGCUUUCAUUGUGAAUUUAGGCCAAAUGCAGUAUUUUCUAGUAGAAAUUUAUCUUUUGGGAAACCAAUUGAAGUGGUUGGAAUGUCGUGGGAUUUAGAUGGUUGGAAGUGGAAAGUUGAUUUAUUGGUUUUUGAAAGUGAGGGAAUUAAUGGAUAUGACAAAAUUAUUUUGCAACGGUUAAAUUGCCUGGAUUUUGGAAUAGUUAAAUUUCCUUGUUUUUGGAAUAAUCAAUGGAAAUUAUUCCCCCCUGGCAUGACCUUCAUUCUAUGUGGUGGUCAAGUAUGUUAUUUGUUAGAGGGACUUUACUAUAUUUCACCCAUAUAUCAGAGUAUGUAUUCAUGCUUUACUCAAUCAUUCAUCUUGCUUUAGCCUCAUGAUUCCAUAUUCAUUGUACUCCUAAUUUUGUUAUGUAAUAUCUAUAUUUUUUUUCUUUGCAAAAAGCAUCAUCAAUGGAUAUAAUGAACCAAUUGAACAAAAAAAUAGUCAUCGUACCAGUUCAUGUCCUUACUCAUACAUAGUGAAAGAGGUGAUAAAGGUAGUGAAUGUAUAUGUUAUCAAUAUGUGCUUAAUUAAAUAAUUUUGCUGAUAAUUUGAAUGUAGUGUUUGAAACAUAAUUGCUAACUAUUAGGACGGUACGAGGUUUUCUGAAGUCGACACCUUUGAGUUCGCUUAUGAAGGAAAUAAUAAAUGUCAUACUUAUAAUGCAGCUAAGGCUCAACACGUAAAAAAGACUCAACGCUAUAACUUUUAUAUUGCUUAUCAUGUGUUAUAUUUCUAGUGUAUAAUUGUAUUAUAUCUCUUACAUAUUUUAGUUAUAUAGACUAUUUUAUAUCACCUAUGGGUUGUGUUUGUAGGAUAAGAUGCUUGUUAAAGAGUAUGAACAUCUUGUAGAGAAGGUAAAGGAGUAGUAGAUUCCCGAAGAUAUCCCUUUCAAGGAAUACCUAUAGAUAAUCCUACUGUUGGACUUAAUAUCAUGAUGUCCGUUCUAAGUACAAAGCCCAGACAUCAAAUUCGUGGGUUGAAAGAUGGUCGCCUUUGAGAUAUUAAAACAUCUUCUUCCAAUGUACGCAAUAUGGAGGAUUUAGAAGCAGAACGUGCUGCUCAAAAGGUUGAAUAUGCAGCUCAAGUGAAAAUGGAGCAAAGGAUACAAAACAAGUUGAAGGUUGUUAAGCAACAAUUCAAUUCUAUUUUGCAAUCUUGGCAUCACUCUAUGCACCAGUUACGUGGUAAAGUACCUGGCUUUGUGGUAACAUCAUUUACACUACUGUCAACAGAGAUUAAUACUACUGAGGAAAAUGAUGCUAUUCAUGAGGACAAAGAGAACAACUUUGAAGAGGAUCAAUUGAAUACCUAAUUUACGAGGAUGAACAGUAGUGUUUUUUAGAUGCAUAAUAAUAGAUAUAGAGGAUGUUUGCUAUAUUAUUUUUAUGUCCAGGUAUAACCAUACUUAGUGAAUGAUUUUUAUUUAUAUUUUUUUUGAAAUAUUUUGGAUUCAAUAUUACAUUGAUUGGCA